UAUAUAGAACUAGGCUGUUAUGCUAUUAAUAGCACCAAGUCAUUGGUGCUACCAAGUUUUUGGCCAUUAUAUUAAGAGAUGUGCGGUUAGGAUGAUGUGAGCCCCCUAGGGUUGAGUGCGUGGUUGGUUGAAUAGUAUGAUCUAACGGGUAAAAAUGAUCAAAAGGGUAGAUCUAAUGGCGGCAAGCUUGGUAGCACCAAGUCUUCGUGCUAUUAAGAGCAUAGUAGCCGGACCCUCUCUCUCUCUCUAUAUAUAUAUAUAAGCUUGUACAAAACAACAAAUUUGUAUUCUAAUCUGACUCCCAUAACCCAAAAUAGAUUUAACAACAUUCAUUAUAUGAAAUAAUUCUUUCUCCAGUAUCAUCAAAUUUUACCAAUCAAAGAAUGUUUAGUGAAUGGGACUCUCUGAUUAUUUGCCGUCAUCACAAAGCUACUGAAAAUAAUUUGGUUCAACG
RNAcentral lists this long non-coding RNA (454 nucleotides) under Ananas comosus (pineapple). Its description in RNAcentral is "long non-coding RNA (ACOM_LNC004904)". Lineage: Eukaryota; Viridiplantae; Streptophyta; Magnoliopsida; Poales; Bromeliaceae. The record is from RNAcentral.